UCAGACGAUGCGUCAUGCAUAUCAAUAAGCGGAGGAAAAGAAACUAACAAGGAUUCCCUCAGUAACGGCGAGUGAAGCGGGAAGAGCUCAAAUUUGAAAUCUUGAAAGGUCACCUUUCACGAAUUGUAGUUUAAAGAAGUGUUUUCUGUUACGAUCGUAAUAUAAGUUCUUUGGAAUAGGACAUCACAGAGGGUGAGAAUCCCGUCUAUGAUUGCGAUUUGUAGCUUUGUGAUACACUUUCAUAGAGUCGGGUUGUUUGGGAAUACAGCCCAAAACGGGAGGUAAAUUUCUUCUAAGGCUAAAUAUUGGCGAGAGACCGAUAGCGAACAAGUACCGUGAGGGAAAGAUGAAAAGAACUUUGAAAGGAGAGUUAAAUAGUACGUGAAAUUGUCAAAAGGGAAGCGUUUAACACCAGUGUUGUUUUCUGAAAAUCAACCUCUGUUAGCUUUAUGCAUGUUUGUUUAGACCUAAUCAGCUAUCUUGCAUGUUCUAUUGUUUGCAGUGGUGCACUUUUCAGUUUACAGGUCAACAUCAGUUUUUUUUACCGUAAAAAAGUUAAAGAAAGGUAGCUCAUGGCUCCGGUCGUGAGUGUUAUAGUCUUUUUCCUAUGCGGUAGGAGAGACUGAGGUCUGCAGUGUAGGCUAUUUGGCUAGAUACUCAGGUGCUAUGUGAUACCAUUUCAUAAACAACUUGUUGAUUAUGUUUUGUCUAUUGCAUACUCGCUUGUACUAUCAUACCUACGCUUAGGAUGUUGAAGGACUCUACAGAGAUA
Molecule: ribosomal RNA, 772 nt
Filed under: uncultured Neocallimastigales
Lineage: Eukaryota; Fungi; Neocallimastigomycota; Neocallimastigomycetes; Neocallimastigales
Description: partial large subunit ribosomal RNA
Rfam family: Eukaryotic large subunit ribosomal RNA
Source: RNAcentral